This 446-nucleotide ribosomal RNA is filed under the name uncultured bacterium. RNAcentral's name for it is "partial 16S ribosomal RNA". It matches the Rfam family "Bacterial small subunit ribosomal RNA", at positions 338 to 795 of the family's 1533-position model. The record is from RNAcentral.
CCUACGGGAGGCUGCAGUAGGGAAUUUUCGGCAAUGGGGGGAACCCUGACCGAGCAACGCCGCGUGAACGAAGAAGUUAUUCGUAAUGUAAAGUUCUUUUAACAGGGAAGAAAGAGAAAUUUGACGGUACCUGAUGAAUAAGCUCCGGCUAACUACGUGCCAGCAGCCGCGGUAAUACGUAGGGAGCGAGGGUUAUCCGGAAUUAUUGGGCGUAAAGGGUGCGUAGAUGGAAUAGUAAGUCUUUGGUAAAAAUGCUGGGCUCAACCCAGUAGGGCAAAAGAUACUGCAAAGCUAGAGUAUGAGAGAGGCAAGUGGAACUACAGGUGUAGCGGUGAAAUGCGUAGAUAUAUGGAAGAACACCAGUGGCGAAGGCGGCUUGCUGGGUCGAUACUGACAUUGAGGCACGAAAGCGUGGGUAGCAAACAGGAUUAGAUACCCCGGUAGUC